AUUAGGAAUCUUGCACAAUGGGGGAAACCCUGAUGCAGCGACGCCGCGUGAAGGAUGAAGGAUUUCGGUCUGUAAACUUCUUUAGUGGGGGACGAAGAAAGUGACGGUACCCCAAGAAUAAGCCCCGGCUAACUACGUGCCAGCAGCCGCGGUAAUACGUAGGGGGCGAGCGUUGUCCGAAGUUACUGGGCGUAAAGCGCGCGUAGGCGGCUAAUUAAGUCUGAGGUGAAAGGUUCAACGCUCAACGUGAACAGUGCCUUGGAUACUGGUUGGCUUGAGUGUGGCAGAGGAGCAUGGAAUUCCUGGUGUAGCGGUGAAAUGCGUAGAGAUCAGGAGGAAUACCAAUGGCGAAGGCAGUGCUCUGGGCUAACACUGACGCUGAGGUGCGAAAGCUAGGGGAGCGAACGG
Molecule: ribosomal RNA, 408 nt
Filed under: uncultured bacterium
Lineage: Bacteria
Description: bacterial SSU rRNA
Rfam family: Bacterial small subunit ribosomal RNA
Source: RNAcentral